Long non-coding RNA from Oncorhynchus tshawytscha (Chinook salmon), 758 nucleotides. The record is from Ensembl. Lineage: Eukaryota; Metazoa; Chordata; Actinopteri; Salmoniformes; Salmonidae.
GUGGGGUUCCCCCUGUGCUGUGAUGGGUGUUUUAUAUGAUGAGUCUUAUCUUUUCUCUCCACUGGCUAUCUGGCUAACAGGCUACACUCUAGACAGUCUCUUCUGCUGAUGUGUGUGUGUCUGGUAGUGGGUCUCUCUCUAUCCUACUCUUUUCCUUUCUGCAGGGUUAAUACCUGUCUGACGUCCCAACAAAUCUCUACCUUUACCCCUCUCUAACAAUACUGCUACAAGGUUUACCAACACUUGAAGUUUAAUAUGUCAAAUGUUUCUACAAGAUAAUAGCCACUAGCAUCACAUGAUCACUAACCACCACAUGUUCAGACUCACCUCAGCUGUGAGAUGUAGGGCAGACACUGAAGGAAACUCCUCACUUCACUCUCUUCAUCUGACCAGUCCUUCAGCUCUACUGGUUUUUUGUCUGGUUGGAGUUUCAGCACUUCUAGGAGGAGGGAGGCCUUUCUCUCUGAGAGGUCUAUGGACCAGACUGCAGGAGCUGACUGGUAAACUGGCUGUAAUGCUGGAAGGAAACUCCUGCCUGUUUGAGUCUCAUAGUCCUUCACAUGUGAGUACAGAUCCAGCAGGAAAUCACAUUUCUGAUUGUGAUAUACUUCAGACAGUGACACCACUUUCUCUACAGUUGUUUGUAUGGUUCCUCUCUCAUGGAGGACUGCUUGAAGACACAGAUUCAGUAGGAAUGUCUUCUCUCUCCUUAUCCUCUCUUCAGGGGAUCUUCUCUGAUCCUGUGAAGGAGUAAAACU